UACGAAGGGUGCAAGCGUUAAUCGGAAUUACUGGGCGUAAAGCGCGCGUAGGCGGUUGUGUAAGUCGGAUGUGAAAGCCCCGGGCUCAACCUGGGAAUUGCAUCCGAUACUGCAUGGCUAGAGUCUGGGAGAGGGAAGUGGAAUUCCGGGUGUAGCGGUGAAAUGCGUAGAUAUCCGGAGGAACACCAGUGGCGAAGGCGACUUCCUGGCCCAAGACUGACGCUGAGGUGCGACAGCGUGGGGAGCGAACGGG
This 253-nucleotide ribosomal RNA is filed under the name uncultured bacterium. RNAcentral describes it as "partial 16S ribosomal RNA". It matches the Rfam family "Bacterial small subunit ribosomal RNA", at positions 524 to 776 of the family's 1533-position model. The record is from RNAcentral.